Molecule: ribosomal RNA, 478 nt
Filed under: uncultured bacterium
Lineage: Bacteria
Description: partial 16S ribosomal RNA
Rfam family: Bacterial small subunit ribosomal RNA
Source: RNAcentral
GACGAACGCUGGCGGCGUGCUUAACACAUGCAAGUCGAACGGUAAGGCCCUUCGGGGUACACGAGUGGCGAACGGGUGAGUAACACGUGGGUGAUCUGCCCUGCACUUCGGGAUAAGCCUGGGAAACUGGGUCUAAUACCGGAUAGGACCAUUGCCUGCAUGGGUGGUGGUGGAAAGCUUUUGCGGGGUGGGAUGGGCCCGCGGCCUAUCAGCUUGUUGGUGGGGUGAUGGCCUACCAAGGCGACGACGGGUAGCCGGCCUGAGAGGGUGACCGGCCACACUGGGACUGAGAUACGGCCCAGGCUCCUACGGGAGGCAGCAGUGGGGAAUAUUGCACAAUGGGCGCAAGCCUGAUGCAGCGACGCCGCGUGAGGGAUGACGGCCUUCGGGUUGUAAACCUCUUUCAGCACCGACGAAGCGCAAGUGACGGUAGGUGCAGAAGAAGGACCGGCCAACUACGUGCCAGCAGCCGCCGUAA